This 584-nucleotide long non-coding RNA is filed under the name Athene cunicularia (burrowing owl). RNAcentral describes it as "lncRNA (ENSACUG00000003516.1)". Lineage: Eukaryota; Metazoa; Chordata; Aves; Strigiformes; Strigidae. The record is from RNAcentral.
AGGAAUAUCACAGCCAAUUAAGUUACCAUAUAUACUUUUAAGUUGCUGUAUAAAGUUGGUCAUAUUUCUUUAUCAGGAAGAAGCUUCUCUCCAAAGGCGUCGUGCUGCAGUGCGCCAGGCUCUGUCGGGGAAGGCACCUAGUGCAUCUGUCCAGCUUUUCCAAAGAGGCCUGGCAGUCACUCCUGAACCGAGCAGCUCCCGUCAACAAUUCCUGGAACCAACAAUACAUUCUUCUCUGCUCUCAGAUGGAAGAAAUGUCACCCAGGACCAGAGCUUGGCCCUGACUAACCCAGAGAGCCGAAAGAGUAAAGUAAUAAAAACCAUCAAGGGCUCCAGAGAAUCUGGUCCUGCUCGUGGACGAUUCCUAAUCUCAUCUGGUGCACCUGCUGCUGAAGGCCUGCCCGUUCGGACCCCUGUUCCCCAAGCUCACCUCACUGGAGAUGCCAAAGCUGAGCAUCAAGACCUAAGAGGAGCUGAAAAUGGAGUGGAUAGACUGAAAGGUUUGAACCAAAGUAAGAGUUUUGCUCAGGUUGUGCAUCUUACUGUAAUGCUGACAGCUUCAUUUGGGUGACGGGACAGCCUCU